This is a long non-coding RNA of Oncorhynchus gorbuscha (pink salmon), 5445 nucleotides long. RefSeq lists it as uncharacterized. NCBI's taxonomy places the organism in Eukaryota, Metazoa, Chordata, Actinopteri, Salmoniformes, Salmonidae. The record is from RefSeq and is a predicted model, not a curated record. The transcript is spliced from 7 exons.
CUGCAACACUGCACAGAACUCUACAUAAAAUAUAGAAUACUCACAAUAAGGUGGCAGUUAUUUUUAUAACUUUAAAGUAAUCCACAGGAAAAUGUGAUACAAUCCUUUCUCACAAUUGUUGUUUAGCCUACAUCCUUGUAGCCUGCCUCCACACUCCCUUAUCUCUCCAUCAGUGACAGGCAGCGCCCCAGUUCUCUCUGUGGCCAGUGGAGGAGGAGGUCAGGUGCACGAUACCUGUUCAUCAGAGGGAUGGUCACCACAACUGAAACUCACCUGGAGAAACAAAGAGGGGACAGAGAUAAAACAAUGAACAAGUACUCUUCACCUCAGAUCCUCAGGGCUUGUUGAGUGUCAGUAGUUGGCUGCUGUAUUCUCCAUCAGACUCAGAUUGGCUCUCCUGUUCAAUCUCUCUGUCUGAGGAAGAGAAGAGAGAGAGUAGAGUCCUUCCUCACAAACCUGGACCUGAGCCCUAGGACAAUGCCUCAGGACUUCCUGGCCUGAUGACUCCUGGCUGUCCAGAGUCCACCUGGUCGUGUUGCUGCUCUAUUUCAACUGUUCUGCCUGCGGCUAUGGAACCCUGACGUGCUACCUUGUCCCUCGACCUGCUGUUUUCGACUCUCUCCCUACCACACCUUUUGUCUCAACCUCUGAAUGCUCAGCUAUGAAAGCCAACUGACAUUUACUCCUGACCUGUUGCAUCCUCGACAACCACUGUUGACCCUGCUGGUCAACUAUGAGCGUUUUAAUGUGUUGAAGAACAAUCUGGCCUUAUUGGCCAUGUACUCUUAUAAUCUCCACCCAGCACAGCCAGAAGACGACUGGCCACUCAGAGCCUGGUUCCUCUCUAGGUUUCUGCCUUUCUAGGGAGUUUUUACUAGCCACUGUGCUUCUGCAUCUGCAUUGCUUCCUGUUUGGGGUUUUAGGCUUAGUUUCUGUAAGCACUUUGUGACACCUGCUGAUGUAAAAAGGGAUGUGUAAAUACACUUGAUUUAGUUAAGCGUUGAGUUAGAUAACAUAACACCUCAAUUGUUAAUUCAAACAAUUUAAUGUAACGUAGACGCUGGGAGUCUUGAAGCAGGUGGUAAGUUUAAUAUAACAUGUACCGAUGCAACGUAGGAGUAGAGUCUAGACAACAGAAACAAUACUGCUUGGGGAAAACACCCAAGGGAGUGCCAGAUAAAGGGGAGGUAAUGAGUGAGGUAAUGGACUCCAGGUGUGCCUAAUGAUGAAUUUGUAAAUGAAAGAGGAAUUUAAUAGUACAAAUUAAAUGGAGUUUCCCAUCUCCCCAUUAAGAGUAUUUCUGGAUCAGCACAGAAAUGCCCUUAUCCAGAUGGUGUGACAAAGGCAUUUCCUAACAGACCUGCUAACAUUCUUUGUUGUUACUUGUAAGGUUAGAACCAACUUGCAGUACCUACAGCGGGCAGAGACGUGAGAAACCUUUUUUUGUCGGCCAGCUCAGGGACAAGCUACACUAUUCGCAUCCCUCAUUAACAAUCAAACUGCUGAAUGACAGGUGUUGGGCGUGGUUUUAUAGUGCACCACGGAGAAUGUGAAAGGUAAGUCCACGACCUUAAGAGGCAGGGAGUGGACAGACAGGAGAGGGAGAACUGAGUAUUUUCUUUUCUAUUAUAAUUUUGGGCUCCGAAGGAGAACUUGAAUACACCGCGGUCAUACGGUUUGCCUCAGCAUUCCAAUUACCUACAGAAGGUUUUGAUGUCACGACAGCUGGAAAAGCGAAGGAGAGGGACCAUGCACUCAGGUACAUAUCAACUUCACUCUAUGAUAAACAACUCUACUCUCUUUAAAGAAUGGGAUUCUCACUUUUCUUUUUUCUCUCCUCCCCUUGUGUCUUUUUUAAAUAUUUUUUUUUACAAAUACAUAUUUUUCUGGAUUGUCUCCUUAUUACCGCUGUGGUUUUGAUCAAGUCAUAGAGCUGGUAAUUUGAUGUAUUAUUUAUUCAUAAAACAAACGUUGUACUGUUUCUUAUACACUGUAUGGAUGGUAUCAAAUAAGCAUGGUCAGUCAAGGCAAUGGGUCUCCACAAUGGGUCCCCUUCAUGCUUAGUAGAAACUGUAGGCAGCUAACUUGUAAAUCAGUUACCCUUGGUGGUGAAAGUGAACGCACAGAUGAUGUCAUGCAAGUGGACAGGCUGUCUAUUCUCUCAUUUACGAAGUGGAACUCAAAGUAUCAUUCAAAUACAUUGUGAUAUUCGGAUUGUCUUGAAUCUACAGGAUUACCAGAAAAUCCCAGGCGUUUUGGUUUUGCAAUAACAGGAAAUCAAGGGAGAGGAACCAUGCGCUCGGGGGUAUUUAUGAGGGUGCUGAUACUGUCAGUUGUCACUGAUCCUAUCCCAGCUCAAAACCCUGAGGCCUUCACUUUGGUGGUCCCUCAUGGUCCGAUCUUGACCCGGAUAAACGACCUCCCUCUCCCUACCUUGUGAACUCUCACCUCUCUUCAGUGCAGAGCCGUUGGAGGUGCGUUGGUACCGGCCUGGUAACUUCACUGACCUGCCUUGUUAUACAAGGACCACAGCAUCCAGACAUCUAUGGACCCCCGUUACGGGAGCAGGAUGUCUCUAACUGGGGGGAUGGAGAGAGGGAACGUGUCCCUGACACUGGAGAGGGUCACACUGGAAGACAGGGGGGAGUAUGUGUGCCGUGUCAGCAGCGAACAGUGGUAUGAAAAGGCCAGUGUGUCCCUCACACUGAUUGUAUUAGGUGGUAUCCCAGUUUUGUCUCUUGCUGAAGCAAGAGGAGGAGGAGGCCAGGUACAUCACCUGUUCAACAGUGGGCUGGUCACCUCAACCUACACUCACCUGGAAAAACAAAGAAGGCGCAGAGCUCAGAAAUGUACAACAAGUACUCUACACACAUGAUCCUCAGGGCUUGGUGAGUGUCAGUAGUUGGCUGCUGUAUUCUCCCUCAGACUCCGAUUGUACAGGAGAGCCAAUCGGAGAGCCAAUCUCCCUGUCUGAGGAGGAGAGAGAGAGAGCAGAAUCCUGCCACAGAUAUGCCAGCCUGGUGAAUGAGUGUCCUACAAACAGCACAUUCAGAUCCCACUUACUUCCCAUCCCAGAAAUGAUCUGCUGUAAGGGGACUGUGAACAUGCUGAAGUCUCUAUCGUACUAUCUUUCCGCCUUAUGAGCGCUUGUGAAUUUGAUUUCCCUGUGUGCAGAAGCCUGGAGAGAAGCAUUUAUUCCAUAUUUGGUCCUGUCUCUGCUCCUCCUGUCUGCUCUCGCAUCUGUGGUCAUCAUGCUGGGCAAACAAUGAAGUAUAUACUGUAAAUUGUUACUAUCAAUAUUUAUCAAUAACUUUUUUUUUUUAUCUUAGAAAGCAUUUCAACAAUCAUUAUGUCUCUGGCAUGGCUGUCAUCACAAAAAAAAGGCAAAGGCAGCCCAGGUAAUGUACAUUGGUAUGUGAUCUGUGUGUCAUUCAAUAUAUAGAAAUAUGAUGUGUAUCUAAUGAGAUAUCAGAUAUGUUGUGUCAUCAAAUAGGAUGUGUGGUUUUUUCUCUGCAUUUCAGCAGAAGUUGAGCUCGAGCAGAGGCCAGGUAAACGUUGUCAUUCUUAAUCCAUUGUAUUUGGUUGAUAUAACAGAUACCGUUCAUGUGACUAAGUCAAAUGUUUGUGCAAAUACACACACAUCGCAAGUAAAUAUCACCUUUUUAUACUGCCUUCCACCUUCUCCAUUCAACCGAUACAAGGCACCUAAUUGAAGGUAAUCAAUGAAUGGCUAUGUAUAACAUUCCUAUGUUUGAUAACCACGCUUCAUAUCCAAAAGUCUGCCUUGAGUCACUAAUAUUCUUAUACAUUUCAGUAGAAUUACCUAAGUGUGUUCAUGGUAUUUGUGCUUGUAGAGGCAGGACACGUCGAUGAGAAACAACCUGUUGAAAAAGUUAAUAAUUGAAAGUUAAGUCAAGUUUACUUGAAUCUAAUGUUCCUGCCAAUGUGAAUCUAAAUUGUAUCUCAGUGUUUACCAUUGACUUCGUAUUUGCUUUUAUGCAGACGGGCUCCAGGUGAAAGGAUUCAAAGGUAGGAUUUUUUUAACCAGAUGUUUAUUAGAUGAUAGUUAUUAUUGUAGUAGCCUAAAUUGCGAGACUAUCCCAUGUCAACAUUGUGUCUGAGUUCAUGAAACCAUAUUCUCUUCCCUCAGAGAACAUGACCAUGGAUGUCCAGACUUCUUCCCUUGCUUUUAAAGUGAGAGAAAAGGGGGGGGGAGCUCAGUACAGCGCAGGAGAAGAGAAAGAUUACUCAAACAGGCAUCCCCAUGUGUUGGGUAAAGAGCGUUUUGACUCUGGACAGCACUACUGGGAAGUGAAGGUGGGGGGGUCAUUUUACAGAAACGAUGUCAUGGUAUAUCGGUGUGGCCGGAGAAAAUGCUGAGAGAACAUUCUGUCAUUCCUUUAACUCCUCAGUAUGGUUUCUGGAUUUUAUUUUCUGAAAAAGGAAAAGGUUUCCAUGUAAAAAAACAACUAACCCUCCAAAACAAGUAGCUGUGGCAGAAUAUCUUUCCACAGUAGGAGUGUUUCUAGACGGUGACAGACAGACUGUGGUCUUUUUAUCAUGUUGAGACACAGUCACAUCUCUACACUUUUGCUGAUGUGGUAUCAAAUGACUUUCCCCCUGUGUUCAGCCCUGGAAAAAGUGUGAAACGUGUUAUGUUGAAUAAAUACCAAGAGAGGAAGGUUAAAAUACGUCAAAUGAGGCAUACUGUACACAUACUGUGUUUUAAAUUAGGCCAACACUACAACUACGGUAUGUUUAACAUGAGGCAGAUGUAGAAAAACCAUGACUAGGGUAUCAUUUUGACUGAAAUGUUAUUCAGGGAUGCUCAGUUCAACACACAUACGAUGCAUUAGGAAAGUACUCAGACCACUUGGCUUUUUUCAUAUUUUGCUACUUUACAGCCUUAUUCUAAAAUGGAUUCAAUUGUUUCCCUGCCUCAUCAAUGUACAGACAAUGCCCCAUAAUGACGAAGCAAAAACAGGUUUUUGGACAUUUUAGCAUCAAAACAUAAUUUAAAAAAACAAAAAUAUAACUUUUACAUUUAGUAUUCAGACCCUUUACUCAGUACUUUGUUGAAGCACCUUUGGCAGCGAUUAGAGUCUUCUUGGGUAUGACGUUACAAGCUUGGGCUCCCAGUGCAAGAGGCUGCAACACAUCAGGCCGGGAUUGGGAGUCCCAUAGGUGGCAGGGCACAAUUGGCCCAGCAUCGUCCGGGUUUUGCCGGGGUAGGCUGUCAUUGUAAAUAAGAAUUUGUUCUUAAUUAACUGAUUUGCCUAGUUAAAUAAAGGUUAAAUAAAUAGAAAAGCUUGCUACACCUCUGUGGGGAGUUUCUCUCAUUCAUCUCUGCAGAUCCUCUCUGUCAGGUUGGAUGGGGAGCGUCACUGCACAGCUUUUUUCAUGUCUCUCCAGAGAUGUUCGAUCAGGUUCAAGUCCUGGCUUGGA